Chinchilla lanigera (long-tailed chinchilla) is the source of this 2612-nucleotide long non-coding RNA. RefSeq lists it as uncharacterized. The record is from RefSeq and is a predicted model, not a curated record. The transcript has 3 exons. NCBI's taxonomy places the organism in Eukaryota, Metazoa, Chordata, Mammalia, Rodentia, Chinchillidae.
UCCUUCCUUCCCUCCUUCCUUCCUGCUCUCCCACUUCCCCUCCCUCCCUCUCCCUCUCCCUCUCCCUCUUGUUCUUUUCUGGGAGCCAUUGUAGCACCUUGCUCGGGCCAGGCAAGCCUUCCACCACCGAGCCACACGCCGCUCCCUGCAGGACUGUAAUUUGCAGCAACUUUCUGAGUGUGGAGCAGCCCACCUGGGCCUGGAGCUGAGCGGCUGGAGCAGCUGCCGCUUGCAGCUAGGAGGCGGAGCUCUGCGGGACAAGCUAGGAGCAGACAGUGAAGGGGUCUGUGCAGGGACUGGGGGAGAACGCCCUCCUUCGUCUCCGCGCUAUUUGCACCUCGACCUUCAUCCCGUGCCCAGACACAGGUGUAGGGUGUGGCUGUCCUUGCGCCCGAGUCUCCCUGAACCAGAGAAGCAGGAGGGAAGAGCCACAUGUUUAUCUUUACCCCUUUCUAAACUUCAGGCAAUAAUUACUGAGGCCUUUUAAAAAUCACAUUAAUUCUUAUGUCUGCAUAGAAAUUGGGGCUCAUUAACUGGUAUUACAGUGGGUUUUUUUUCCAUUUUAAUUAAAAGGUCCCUGCCAGAGGAGAGUGCCGGCAAAGAGUUUUCCUACUCUCUGGGCCUCCAGGGUGUGGACCCUGGGCCCCACGGGGCCGUUGGGUGACGCGUGUGUGCAAGUGACAGGGCGGGGCCUCAGGGAAUGGAAUGAAAGUUAUUUCUCUUUGCAAAACCCAGGGUGGGGAGGAAACACUUAACCCAGACUAGUGUCCCGGUCUGCCGUCUGCACAGCUGUCUCUUGCUGGAGCUUGAGUUCCUGAUGAGUCGCAGCGCAUGACAGCUUCCUCCAGCAUCGCCCCAGCUGCCCAGGGCGGAGUGUGGCCACCAGCCUCUGCCGCUUCCCCCGGAGCACCUGCCUUUGGCCCUUAGUGUCACUGGGCUGCCUUGAGCCGUCGCAGAAGGUAACUCCCGGUGCUGUGGAACGCUAGCCCCACCCGCAGCGUCCAGCCUCACCCCGGCUGAGGACUGAAUUAUUCAAGUCUGAAUCCGCUUCAUUUGGCUCCACCAAGUGCCUCAUGGCCGGCCCUGGCACAGCGCAUGUCCCCGGCUGCUCUGCUGCAGCAAGCGUGGGUCCCAGGCCGUCCCUGAAGACCCCAGCCGCGGCCGCUGGGAUGAGUCUUCAGUCCAGUCGAUGAGAAGGCCCCCGCGACCAUAACCGAGAAAACCCCGCGUUUGCAGCAGGACACCUGCUCGUUUCCCUGGUAGUCAACGGCCCCGGACCCUCCUUGGUCAGCCCGAGGCCGCAGUGGAGGUCUAACAAAGCUCUUCCCGAGGGGCUGUCGGCCCUCCUGUCCCGAGUCCCCCGCCAGCGUCCUCCUGUCCUCGGUCCUCGCAGGGCAGAUUCCACGAGUGGAAAGCUCGCCUCGCCGCCCUCCGAGCCUGCCUCUCGCUCCUCCCGCACUUGUCUCUCAAGGGCAGGGCUCCUUCCCGUGCCAUCCAUCCGUCCCCGAUAUUCUUUCUUACGCCCUGGCCCUUCUAGUGCCUGUGAACUCUUGGGUAGAGGUCAAGGCGCCCACAGGACCCUGACUAAGUCCACGCCCCCGCGUUCUGCUCAGGUCGGCCAGCUGGUCCAUACUCCAGUGUCGGGUGGGGCUGGGGCUGACUCUUGGAGGGACUGGGCCAGGCCAGGUCCCUGGGCGGCAUGAACUCCAUUGCCCCGAACGUCAGCAGCCCGUAUCUGCAGGUGCCGCGUUGCAAGAGCUGUUUCUCAAACGCGCUCAUCAAAAGGCGGGAUGGCUUUUCCGGGUUAAUUGCUCCCCAUGAGGGAAGGGGCCUUGCCCUUCGGGUCCAAAUACAUCAGGGCGUUUGUGCAUUUGUAAGCUUCCUUCCCUAACAGUUCCCCCGAGGACUCAGAGCUCUGCUGCUGCUCCGGGGUGAGGACACUGAUGUAAGCUUGCACCCACCUCUCAGUGCCUCCUUAGGGAAUUCAGCUCCACAGAUGCCAGUUCACUGAGUGUAAUUGGCUGAAAGCGUCUCUGACUUUACUAUACUGGUGGUAGGUUCUUGAGGAUGAAUUAAUAUUUGGAAUUGUUUAAAACAGGCAUUAGUAUUAAAUGGAAUCAAUUCCUUACUUUUUAUGCUAAUGUUUUGCAGCCUGGAAGUCACUAUGAUAUGAACGUUUCAUAGGACAAUAGUUUUAGACACGUUUGCUGUUAUUCUGAAGGUGAUAGGGUGGUUUCUCAGCAUUUUAUUGAUGUGUGCAACAGGAUCAGGUAGUGGUAACUAUCUAUAGUUCUGCUUUUGUGAUUCAUCUAAGUGCUGUGUGACUUUGUAGAGUCAGAGGGGUCACUGGGGAUACACUGGGGCUGUGUAGCUCCUACCUGUUUCUCUAGAGUCCGCUUCUGAGACACAUGCACACACACACACACACACACUCUCUCUCUCUCUUUCUGUCUCUGUCUCUCUGUCUGUCUGUCUGUCUGUCUCUCUCUCUCUCCCCAAACCUCCCCAAACCUUUGCUUGUUUACUUGCCUGGCACCACUCCCAGCAGAGGGCACUGACUGUCAUGGAAUGAAAAAGAACAGGAGAGAACAUAUCCAAGAAAAGAAUAAAGG